AACACAAGAAGACACCCAACCCUUGCUACCAAAACACAGGGAGAGUAACAGAAUGUAAACAUAAAGCUGCUAACGUACACACUGACACGUGAAUGACAUUUACAUUGUUCAGAAUAAAAUCCAGGAUAUUCUCGAAUAAUGAGCCACAGAAAAAUUGCUGUAGCAAAAUAAUGUUUAGAAUCGAGCACGGAUUCAUUUGGAAUGAGAGGGGUUUUUUCAUUAAAAAAAUGGUGCAGCUAAUAAUAAAGUCUUUUAACCUGUAUUUUGUUAUAGGUGACAGGUGAACAAAUCACAGGUCUUGAGUUUCUCUACCCUGCCUCUCUUGGUAACGUCAUCUCCAGUACCAUCUGCUACCUACCAGCCAAACAGACCAACCACAUAAUGAGGUACCAGCUUCCACCCAGCUACCGUGACUAAAUCAGAACAAAAGAUUCAACGCCUCCUUCAACAAAGGAACACAAGUCUAAGCUGUCUUUGCUAAUUGCUGGGUUUCAGGUUGUCUGUUACAGAUUCUAAGUGAGCUACAAACUUCCAUCAAAUACUUAUAGCUGUUGGAUAAAGGUACUAAGAAUAAAAGAUAAAUGGAAGCAAAAGGCAAUGAUGUUGUUCUCCUAAAAUGUGAGACAGUUUGCUCCUUGUCAGCAAGUGGAGCUCAGCUCAGCUCUUCAUCUCCCUGAGCUGCCGGAGACAGCCUCACACGCCUCGGGUUCGGGUGCUUUGUGGACUGACUUGCAACGAUUCAGGGGAAUUAGUACUCCAUUCAUAUAUCACUUUUUGCACUUAUUAUAUGCUGAGUUAGACACUGUGGGUCAUUUUAAAGUGAAAGAGAAUAAUGAAAGAAUGUGUUAAGGAACACUGUUCAGUUUAAAAAUAGGACACUUCUUGUCACAAAUGCUAUCCCCUAACUGUAAAUGAACAUAGUUUGAAGAUUUUUUUUUUCAGUAUGCCAGGGCAAGAAACAUUUGAUAUCUGUUUCUUUUUCUAAAUGAUUGCUAUCCUUAUCCAGUUAGUGAAAAAAUGGUGUAUGAGUCACAGGAAAUUUAAGUGGUUUGUCUCAGGGAAAUUUGGUGGUAUGCAUUUUUUUGACGCACAUAGAAGCUGCUGAAUGAAUAAUUGGCAACCUAUUUAAUGUCCUUUGCUUUAAAGCUGUCUGGUACAUUUGCUGUUUAAAAAAAAAAGUCUUUCAAAGCUGUUAAAUAUGUAACAAAAAGAGGUUGCUAUCACCAUUCUGUCAUGAACAAAGCCAUACAGUGAGCUGCCUGGGGUACGUCCAGUGUGCUAUUAAUUACAGAAACAAUAAUAAAUGAAAAUUUGCAAAGUUCUCAAAUUCCAGUUCUUUGCAAUAGCAGCUGAUGAAUGUUCUAUAAAAGCACGCAGUGAAAAUGUCUGUCCAGGAAUUAGCUAUUAAAUAUUAACUACGCCAAGCAUUUGGGGGAGAGCAUGGAAUCUAUGGGAUCUAUAAUUUCACCGUUUACCCCUCAUCGAGUAAGAUCUCUCACUGUCUUGGGAGCAAACGGAGCUUAAACCAGCGCACUUCCAAGAAGAUGAUCGACUAAGAAUGUGUUUUAUUUUGAUUUGAAAAACUGUCAAUCAUAGAUAAAAAAGACCAAAUAAUAUUAUUCUAUAAUAUUAGCUAAUUGUAUUUGUCUGGUAAACCAGGAAUAUGCAGGGAAGAUGAAUAAUACAGUUUAAAAGGAAAAUAUUCCGAAUCUUUUGCCCAGAUGUUGUGCUGAAAUUGUUUGUCACUGGUACAAGCAAUAGAUUUCAGCUAAAAAUACAAGUAUGUAUCUAUAGAUGUGAGCGAGGCGUGAGAUGUCCAAUGUUGUCCAUAUUUCAGUUUAUAUAGCCACAGCUAUUUAAACAAUUCCAAAACUGCCUCUACGGGUGUCAAAGAGGGAGGGAAAUCUUCAACCACAUGAUCUUCUCUCCAGAGUCCUGUUAAAUCCACUGAACUUAAAACAGAACAAGAAGUGUGAAAUAUGGGUUUGAACAUGUUAUGUCAGGAAUGUAAAGGUUGGGAGCCUUUUUAGUAACUGAUAUUAAUAUUGUAUUAAAUGUUAUGAAAAGGUAGGUGUUGGAGAGGAGGGCUGGGCUCAUGUGCAAUUUUGUCAAGGUUUUUAUCUGUGAUUAUGAUUCCAGAUGUAUCUAUUCCCUGAGGAGAAAAAUGAAGUAAAGUUGGCAUGUGACAUGUGUUUUAAGGUGUUUGGCACAGUUUCCCAAAGUGAUGACAAAAUGUUCAUUUUUAUUACAGUGAAUUGGUAAAGAAAAUACGAUUCUGAAGGUCAGUAGCUGUAUAUUUAACGUAGCUUCAGAGGUUUAUUUUGGGGAAUAUAGGUUUUUGGUGGGAUGUUUGGAUCUGAUUGCCUCACUUGAGCAUCUACCAUAGUAAAUAAUUAAAAUAGAAUAAUUUUUACAAAAUAGGAAGUAGUAAUUACCAGAAAUUCUGUAAAUUCUAUGCACAGAAUAUGGCAAAGUUUGCAAAAAAAAGUCUCUUCUUGCAUCUAGUAGUGUAGCUGCUUCUUAAUACAUUUUUUUUAAUCUAUUUACUACAGACUAAUCUCUUUGCUCCACACUUGGAGCUCCCAUAAGUGAUUAAGAUGCUUUGUAUGAACUCUUUUUUAGUGUAAAUAGACAGAUUUUUUUAACAAAGUGAGGAAGGGAUUUUUUAGGUGAAAGCUAUUUUGCCUAAAUGCACAGUAAGAGUUUAGAUAAGAAAGUUCCCUGUGGCUCCCCAGCUCCCCUUCUCUCUUUGCCCCAACCCCUUCCGUGUGUAAUAGUACCAGUAAUUCCAUGCUGACAGCAGGGCACCCAGGGCUACAUUACCAGGCAAACACUCACUCAUAAACAUUUUACAAGUUCAAUAUCAACCAAUCCUGGAGGUUUGGGAGCCUGCCCUGAUUGGGUAUAUCAUGGAUUUGGUAAACAUGGCUACACAACAAAAAUAAGGUUUGUAGAGAAAGAAAAAGCCCAGUAGUAUUGCCUCUUUCGAAUAAUCAGAGGCUAAGAAUAUGAUUAAUUCCAUAUUUUAUAAGUAAACUUGUAUAGCUCUGUAUCCAUCUGCAAAUAUUCAGUGAUGUGCUCAAUACAUUCCUUUCUGUUCUCCAACCACAUUUCUUUGUGAAUUUAACCACAUCAGAAAGCACUUCGGAUUUCUAACACAAAUAUUAGAUGCAUUUAAUGUAAGGAAGCUUCCUUUAUUGGAGGUGAUUUGGACCAUUUUGUAUUUUAUAGGUAUAUUUAAGAGGUUAGCAGUAGGGGGGAAUCGUCUGUGGAAAAUCUGUCUACAGCUGAAAUUUUUAGAUGCAGAAGUGUUGCUGAAAUGCCUAAUACAUUCACAUUCUUUUGUUAAGUAGCUCACAGGACUAUCCUCUUAGCUACCAGAUACUUUCUUUUUUUUAAGUCAAAUAACAUUCCUCCUUUUUUUCUUAUUUGUAAUUUUCAGCAGUAUAUACUUGGCUUUAUAUUUGUGUGCAAUUAGAAGAAGAUUUUAAUUCUCAAGGGCUUUACUUUUUAAUCUCUUUGGUAAUCUUCUGCAACUUUACCUUAUCUUCAGUGCAUGCAUGGGCAGCAUUCAGCCUCUCAUUUCCUGGGAAAUUACUGAUAAUGAUUUACAAGUUUUCACAGAUUAAUUUUCCAUGGGGUAAUUUUUCUCCAAUAGAACAUAGCUCCAAUUGAAGAAAAGAAAUCCAAGGUUAAGGUAUUUCAGAACACAAUGCAGAAAUUCAUUUCUUGAGGUCCUUGUGUUUAUAUUUUAAAUUUAGAAUCCUACUUAUACCUCAGUAUGGGAAAAAUAGUAUGGAGAGCUUGAAAAUUAAAGGUCUGGUAUUUACCAGAUAUUGAAAUGUGCCUAAUGAAGGCAGAAGACUUGCUCACUAGAUUUAUUUUAAAGCAGUGCUUUUAUAUAUUCAUAAAUUAAAAUGGCAGUUUUCAACGAGAUACUUAUUACUAUUUUAUUUGAUAUUUGCAAGAUGCCUGACCAUUUAAUAUUUAUCCUUUAUUUCUCUGAGCUGAUCUAAUUGCACCUCUCUAUUUUGCAUUUAUUUCUCUUUGCAAACACUACAUUAUUCACUCUCUCCUGUGCUUAUUAAACAGUGCCACCUGCACCAAAUGAAACAAAGCUUCUCCAUCAAUCUAUCCCAGCUAAAGAACCCUGACUAUAUAUUAUAAUUAAUUGAAGCUCAAUUGAACACUUGAGUCUGAACUAGAUACAGUAACCUGAAAAAACAUUAAAAAAAUUAGGAUGUACUUUAAAGAAAUCUUUUAAAUGAAAAUGUUCACUCUAAACUGAGAACCUAACCUUGUACCAAGCACUCUUCAUCAUCUCUGCACAGUACCUCAAGUAGCAAUUAGCAGGUCCUUUAAUUAAUUAACUAUUCCCUGUACAUCACAGGGAUUUUUGUGGCACUAACGUCAUCCCUCAUAAGUGAAUACCAAAUCCAGUCAAUAUUUUGUCACUAUAAACCCUUAUCUGGACUACCUGAAUGGCCACCGCCUGUCUCUGAAAAAUGAUUUCAAAACACAGAAGGCAGGUAUGGAAACCAGAUGCAAACUUUGCAGGGCUAUGCCUGGGGAGUUAGCGGAGAUAAAGCUGGGCACAGGGAACUAGAUGCAGGGAAUCUAAUAAGGCAAUAUUUACAAGAAGAAGAAAUCAGGUAAGAUACAAACUGAAGGAGUAAUGAUGAAAUCUUGUAAAUAGAGUGAAGGAAAAGGAUUCUGUAAGAGAAGCUGAAUGUAUUUUCAACUUUCAGAGUGCUGCAGACUUUGCUCUCUGGGCUGCCCAUCUUUAGCAGUGUCCGCUCCCAGGCAAGAGCAGAUGAAUUAAGUGGCAGGUCAGACACAAUGAGGUGAAGGGGCAUUUCCAGCCAAUCGCUGACAUUUUGCCAAUUUUAUACUUUACAAACUUCUUCUCUAAGCGUGAGUGUGGCUGAUUAUUUUCAAUGGAAUUCUCAUUUGGAAAAAAAUACGAAGUAAUUUUAAGGGAACUGACAUCUGAAAAUGAGACACCAAAUACGGAUUGCUGGGCUUAAGGUUUACAAAAGAUGCAGUAUGUAAAUUUGUUUAUAUAAAUAUGUAUAAGAUAUAUGACUGUAUGAGGCUAUGUGUGUGUGUGUGAAUGAACAUAUGUGUGUGUAUCCAUCCAUCUAUUUGUAGAUUCAGACACAGACAUAUGUUAUCAUUUCUUAGAGGCAAAUAUCUGCCGAAAGAAUUCUUUGUGUUCAGUAGUUUUCUUAAAUGUGUAGUAAGUUUAUCUUGAGAGGUUUCUGUGUUCAGGAAAGAUCUUGUGAAUUUAUGUAAUGUACAGCAUAAUGAACUCAAAUAAAGUAUGCCUCGUGGUUCUGCAAGAAUUA
Molecule: long non-coding RNA, 5348 nt
Organism: Strigops habroptila (Kakapo)
Lineage: Eukaryota; Metazoa; Chordata; Aves; Psittaciformes; Psittacidae
Exons: 2
Source: RefSeq, a predicted model, not a curated record